This is a long non-coding RNA of Nothoprocta perdicaria, 313 nucleotides long. RefSeq lists it as uncharacterized. NCBI's taxonomy places the organism in Eukaryota, Metazoa, Chordata, Aves, Tinamiformes, Tinamidae. The record is from RefSeq and is a predicted model, not a curated record. The transcript is spliced from 3 exons.
CGGUAGUAGCGAAGUGCUUCAUUUUCAUGUGGCCUCUUGAGGGCACGUGGUCCAGUUUCCACAGAAGAGUCGGAACUUUGCAGUGUAUGCAGUAUGCCUACGCUGGGGAAAUUAAACUGGAAGACCAACUCCAGUGCACACUAAAUGUACUUCCGACCCUAACAACAAGGACAGGGUCUGAACGAACAAACAGACUAGAGCGCAAUGAAAUGCUCCAGAACACACCUGGCUGAUUGGGAGCAGAGACGCCUUGGAGUGGUUCCCGUCCGCGUGCCUUUGCGCAUCACCGCGAGCGCCACGCGCUUCCGACYGG